Molecule: non-coding RNA, 546 nt
Organism: Oryzias latipes (Japanese medaka)
Lineage: Eukaryota; Metazoa; Chordata; Actinopteri; Beloniformes; Adrianichthyidae
Source: RefSeq, a predicted model, not a curated record
GAAUGCUUUUGUGUUGAGUGAUUGGUUGAUGUGAUUUGCACUUCAGGGCCACCGUAAGCUAGCCUAGUGUGCAUCACGAUGGAUGACAUUGAGGCGAAGUAGUCGCUUUUUCUGUUCUCCCUGGAUGAUCCGACUGGAUUAUUUCAACGCACUCAAUGUUUUGCAAAAGAAACAACAGGCCUGCAACGUUUUUUCUUUUUUUGAUUUUGGGGUUCCGUACCAGUCUAACAGGAAGUCAGAACCGAAGGCGCAUCAGACUUUGAAUGCCCAUAAGCAACUACUUUGUACAACUACAGGACACCUGGCCAUACAGAGCAUGGCACAUUCUGACUGCUAAUCUGGACCCCCACCCCCAGCUGACAACGUGCCACAACACGAGAUGGACGUGGAGAAGUGAAGAUGAUCAAAGAGUAUGAGGAUGUCAGCCGAGAUGCAGUGAAAGAGGACUGAACUAAUCGCUUCAAGAUUGUCUUGGUCCUUCCCAAUGAAACACAGGACAACCAAGACCCAGCGUUUUUCUACAGAGAGCGUAAUUAUAUCAGGGGA